Molecule: long non-coding RNA, 340 nt
Organism: Schistocerca gregaria
Lineage: Eukaryota; Metazoa; Arthropoda; Insecta; Orthoptera; Acrididae
Exons: 2
Source: RefSeq, a predicted model, not a curated record
UGGAGUAGAGUGAGUUGGCUACCAAUAAAUCCUUUCAGCUUCUCUGAAACUGAUUUUCGUUUAUUGUUAAGCUAUUUACGGCUGCUGAAAUGACUCUGUUUCACCAAUGAAGCAGUCACAGCUGACACUCAAAUAUUUUGCCUCUGGAGAUUUUUUCUGUCCAUUGCAGUUGUCAUUGGUAUUGGCAAGGGGACGGCCAGUGAGAUUAUUGAAAGGCUGAAUAUGACUCUGGGCUACAUGCACAAGACAAAAGUUUUUUAAUUAUUUCAGUUCUCUUAUGUAAUUAAGUGAAAAUAAAACGCAGAAGUAUGUGAAAUAACAUGCUUCUAUUUUGAAAUCA